GACGAACGCUGGCGGCGUGCUUAACACAUGCAAGUCGAACGGAAAGGCCCUGCUUUUGUGGGGUGCUCGAGUGGCGAACGGGUGAGUAACACGUGAGUAACCUGCCCUUGACUUUGGGAUAACUUCAGGAAACUGGGGCUAAUACCGGAUAGGAGCUCCUGCUGCAUGGUGGGGGUUGGAAAGUUUCGGCGGUUGGGGAUGGACUCGCGGCUUAUCAGCUUGUUGGUGGGGUAGUGGCUUACCAAGGCUUUGACGGGUAGCCGGCCUGAGAGGGUGACCGGCCACAAUGGGACUGAGAUACGGCCCAGACUCCUACGGGAGGCAGCAGUGGGGAAUAUUGCACAGUGGGCGGAAGCCUGAUGCAGCAACGCCGCGUGCGGGAUGACGGCCUUCGGGUUGUAAACCGCUUUCGCCUGUGACGAAGCGUGAGUGACGGUAAUGGGUAAAGAAGCACCGGCUAACUACGUG
This 468-nucleotide ribosomal RNA is filed under the name uncultured bacterium. Its description in RNAcentral is "partial 16S ribosomal RNA". It matches the Rfam family "Bacterial small subunit ribosomal RNA", at positions 28 to 507 of the family's 1533-position model. The record is from RNAcentral.